CUUUCUUUCUUUUUUUUUUUUUUUGACAGGAUGGGCUGGGGUUGGGGGAGGAGGAAGCAAGAAUUAAGCAGAGAAGGCAAGCUCCUUUCUGUUCAUCUAACUCAAAGAUUCUUCCUGGCUAAAGAAACCCAUAAAAGUGGAAAACUCAAACUCCACAGUGCAAAUAUCUCUUGAGUCUGCCUGCACUACCCUUUCUUGAAUGUGUAUUGAUAAGACUGCAGUUGACAUUUUAAGAAAUUUAAAUUUCAACCUGAAGUCAAUAAGGACACCUCAGAAGUUUUCAAAGGAAGGAUGGAGUCUGUUGAAAAGAACCGGUUGGUAAAAUGAGAAAAAAUGGAUUGAAGGAGACCCAAGUGACCACCUGGUAAUUACUUCAACAGCAGAGCGACUCAUACAGCCGGCAGUCCACUUUGUUCUUCUAUAGAUCCUGCCUGUGGUGUUGGAUCUAACAGCUUCUUCCCUGACCCAAGAUUAUGAAGGAUUUCUCCUGUGUUCUCUUCUAAAAAUUUUACAUUUAGGUACAUAAUCCAUUUUGAGCUAAUUCUUUUAAAUAGUGCAAAGUAUGGAUUGAAGUUCUUUUUUUUUUUUUUUUUUGCAGAUACAUAUUUAAUUUUUCCAGCACCAUUUGUUGAAAAGACUAAUGUUCUUGCCUGAAUAGCCUUUGCAUUGUUGUUGAAAAUCAUGUUCACACAUGUACACAUUCCACUGAUCUAUUUGCCUCUUUGUGAAAAUACUACUAUUUUGAUUAAUAUAUAUUUAUAGGGAGUCUUAAAAUCAUAUCUUAAAAAGAUAGUGGAAGUUAUUUAACCUUACUCUUGCUUUUAGAAAUUGUUUUGGAUAUUCUAGAUCUUUUGUGUUUCCAUAUAAAUUUUAUAAUCAGUUUGGCAAUUUAUUUAAAAUAUUCUUCUGGGAUUUUGAUGGACAUUACACUGAAUCGAUGGAUCGCUUUGGGGACAACUGACAUCUUAACAAUAUUGAGUCAUCUAACAUAUGAUCAUGGAAAUUGCUCCAUUUAUUUAGAUCUUCUUUCACAUCUUGAAGCAGUGUUUUGCGUUUUCAGUGUAUAGGUAUUUAAUAGAUUUAAAAAUAUGAUCCCUAAAUAUUCAAUGUUUUUGAUGCUAUUGGAAUUUUAAAAAAUUAAUUUCUGUUCUGAGGAAGGAAAAUAAUAAAAGAUUAAACAAGAAAAAUAAAAAUAAUCAAAAUAAAAGAUAAAUCAUUGACAAAUAUAAUAAAAAAUAAAAUAAUAACAAAAAA
Molecule: long non-coding RNA, 1254 nt
Filed under: Homo sapiens (human)
Lineage: Eukaryota; Metazoa; Chordata; Mammalia; Primates; Hominidae
Description: novel transcript
Source: RNAcentral